Long non-coding RNA from Asparagus officinalis (garden asparagus), 371 nucleotides. RefSeq lists it as uncharacterized. The transcript has 2 exons. The record is from RefSeq and is a predicted model, not a curated record. Lineage: Eukaryota; Viridiplantae; Streptophyta; Magnoliopsida; Asparagales; Asparagaceae.
UUCCUGAUCAUCUAUCUCUAGUUCCACCGAAACCCUAAAUUCUAGAGAGAAGGUCGACUUCUCCAUCUCUAAGUGGGCCGACGGAAAGCCCAAAAAACCCAGUGAUUCAAGAACUCACAAAGCAAGACUUUCUGAACCGAGGGAAUAAAACGACAAAAGAAAUACAAAGUGAAAGUGUAUAAGCAUUAGAAAGAAACUCUUUUUUGAAUCAGAUGUAAUAAGUCUUAAAGAAACUAGUGCGAGAGCAACUUAAGCAUGACAUUGUAAUGGCGAAGUAUUAACUUUUGUUGGUUUGUAUUUGUUGGAUAUUUUGGAUCUCUAGUUUGUUGAAUUGUUAUAUGCAAUAUUUAAAGUUUCUACUUUAUUUAUUA